Molecule: long non-coding RNA, 1026 nt
Organism: Lathyrus oleraceus (garden pea)
Lineage: Eukaryota; Viridiplantae; Streptophyta; Magnoliopsida; Fabales; Fabaceae
Exons: 2
Source: RefSeq, a predicted model, not a curated record
CCUAAUCCCGUGGAGGUGCAAAUAGUAUUGUGGUUGCAGGGCCCAUACAAGGCCCAAAUGGCCUAACCGUUGUGAAAAGGGGGGUGCGUCUAUUGGGGGUGUGAAUUAGGAAGCCCCAAAAACACCAUUUCCCAAAAUCGGGUUCGGUCCAGCUUCUGCUCUUGUAGCUGUAAACCAAAUCGCUGUUGCAAAUGCGAAACCUACAUGACAAACGAAAGGAUCCAUCGGUGCCUCGUUCGCACACCAUCGCCAUUGACGCAGUUUAGAAACCGAAGAUCAAUGCCAGCGCCACAAGAAAUCAACCAAAUAUUAACGGAGACGCACACACUUACGUCAUACGCGAAAGAAUCUCACCACAGGCAUCGGAAGAAGCUCCCUCGGUGGAGUACAUUGCACGAAGGAUGAGGAGUGUAGUGAAUUGAAUGGUUGUUCGGGGUGGUUCAGAAAUUCUCCUCACAAGAACUCGGGUUUUCACAGAUCUUCACCGCCGUAUCCUCCUAUCAAACGCGAAGAACUCAACCGCACAACCAAAAAUCAACUCAGUUUAAUUACUCUCCUCAAUUCAAUUGGGCGUCGUCAAUGCAUAAACAUCGAGAAGGAUUCAACAAUUUGCUUUCUCAGUUUAAUCGAAGAAUCAAGAACAAAUGAAUGACUCGUCAUCAAAUCGCAAUCAUCACUGAAAUCAAAUUUGUUACACUUGUUCUUGCGUACGGAAGAAAGGAGUUAAAAGGGAGAGGAGACCUACCGGAUUGUUCCUGCGUGUGGCUCAUGUUUUGGCGUUGCCGUCGUUUGGUUCGUACGUCUCCGUGUUUUGAUAGCGGUUUUGGCUUGCGUUAGCUGCAGCUGUUUUGGAUGCUUGAGCGUAGCAGCUUUGGAUGCGUUUGGAUUUGUAGUUUUCCUGCAGCAUUUGUACCUUCUGCAAAUUACUUUUUUCAUUUCAUGUACUUUUGAUUGUACUGCAACGCUUUUGCCAUGUUGUUGCAGCUUUCAUGUUUUGCAAAAAAAAUUGGACUCACACUUUGGUUA